Molecule: unclassified non-coding RNA, 218 nt
Filed under: uncultured Thelephoraceae
Lineage: Eukaryota; Fungi; Basidiomycota; Agaricomycetes; Thelephorales; Thelephoraceae
Description: sequence contains ITS2
Source: RNAcentral
ACACCUCAACUCUCACGGUUUGCCGUGAUGAGCUUGGACUUUGGGGGUUUUGCUGGCCAUGCGGUUGGCUCCUCUCAAAUAAAUCAGCUUGCCAGCGUUUGGUGGCUUCAUGGGUGUGAUAACUGUCUACGCCUGUGGUCCAUCGGGUGACCUUCAGCGAUGGAGGUUUGCUGGAGCUUACAAAUGUCUCUCCUCGGCAGAGACGGCUUUUCGAACGU